UUGAACUGGCAACCUUUUGGUGCACAGGCUGACACCCAACCAACUGAGCCACACUAGCCAGGGCUCCAGCUUGUUUUUAUUUUUUGCUUCUUUAUGAAUGUAUUGGGGUGACACUGGUUAGUAACAUUAUACAGGUUCUAGGUGUCUACACAUUCUGGUGCCUCCCCUGAAGGCUCUUCUUCCUACUCAUCUGGUUCACUCCUUCACCUCCUUCCGGCCUUGGCUUUCAUGUUACUUCCUCUGAGGUCUCUCCUAAUCACUCCAUGUCAAGGGGACGCCCUCUCCUCCCGGAGAUAUGCUCCGGGACAUCCCCGUUCCCAGUUGCACAGCUGACUCCAGGUGCUGUCGCUGGGACAGAGAACCACUGCCCUAGAACUGCCAGACAACACUCCAACCGAGCCACCGGGCCAGGGCCUCAUGGCCUUGUCCAUUCUGCAGGUUGGGGAGAAUGCCCAGAGCACUGGUGAGGUCAACAGGGCCAUCGUUCCAGGACCAGCCCCUGCACAAGGCAGGCAGGUGUCCGCAGUCUGUCAUUAGGAAGCUGAGAAGUACUACUUUAUGGGAACAUCCGUGCUGCCCACUAUGUACAUUAGUGCAAAAUUUGUAGGUACUAAAAGCUGUUUAUGAAUAAAAAUAUUUAAUUCUGUUAAUGAAAUUGCA
This is a long non-coding RNA of Myotis lucifugus (little brown bat), 660 nucleotides long. RefSeq lists it as uncharacterized. The record is from RefSeq and is a predicted model, not a curated record. NCBI's taxonomy places the organism in Eukaryota, Metazoa, Chordata, Mammalia, Chiroptera, Vespertilionidae. The transcript has 2 exons.